Molecule: ribosomal RNA, 425 nt
Filed under: uncultured bacterium
Lineage: Bacteria
Description: partial 16S ribosomal RNA
Rfam family: Bacterial small subunit ribosomal RNA
Source: RNAcentral
GUGGGGAAUCUUGCGCAAUGGGCGAAAGCCUGACGCAGCCAUGCCGCGUGGAUGAUGAAGGUCUUAGGAUUGUAAAAUCCUUUCACCGGUGAAGAUAAUGACUGUAGCCGGAGAAGAAGCCCCGGCUAACUUCGUGCCAGCAGCCGCGGUAAUACGAAGGGGGCUAGCGUUGCUCGGAUUUACUGGGCGUAAAGGGCGCGUAGGCGGACAUUUAAGUCAGGGGUGAAAUCCCGGGGCUCAACCUCGGAACUGCCUUUGAUACUGGGUGUCUUGAGUAUGAGAGAGGUGUGUGGAACUCCGAGUGUAGAGGUGAAAUUCGUAGAUAUUCGGAAGAACACCAGUGGCGAAGGCGACUCACUGGCCCGUUACUGACGCUGAGGCGCGAAAGCGUGGGGAGCAAACAGGAUUAGAAACCCGAGUAGUCC